GUAGAGAUAGCUUAGUGGUUAAGAGCGCUGACUGUUUUUCCAGAGGUCCUGAGUUCAAUUCUCAGCAACCACA
Molecule: transfer RNA, 73 nt
Filed under: Mus musculus (house mouse)
Lineage: Eukaryota; Metazoa; Chordata; Mammalia; Rodentia; Muridae
Rfam family: tRNA
About the family: Transfer RNA (tRNA) molecules are approximately 80 nucleotides in length. Their secondary structure includes four short double-helical elements and three loops (D, anti-codon, and T loops).
Source: Rfam by way of RNAcentral